RNAcentral lists this ribosomal RNA (253 nucleotides) under uncultured bacterium. RNAcentral describes it as "partial 16S ribosomal RNA". It matches the Rfam family "Bacterial small subunit ribosomal RNA", at positions 524 to 776 of the family's 1533-position model. The record is from RNAcentral.
UACGGAGGGUGCGAGCGUUAAUCGGAAUUACUGGGCGUAAAGCGCGCGUAGGUGGUCUGUUAAGUCGGAUGUGAAAGCCCCGGGCUCAACCUGGGAACUGCAUCCGAUACUGGAUAACUAGAAUGCGGGAGAGGGAGGUAGAAUUCCAUGUGUAGCAGUGAAAUGCGUAGAUAUAUGGAGGAAUACCAGUGGCGAAGGCGGCCUCCUGGCUUAACACUGACGCUGAGGUGCGAAAGCGUGGGUAGCAAACAGG